AGAUUGAACGCUGGCGGCAGGCCUAACACAUGCAAGUCGAGCGGUAGAGAGGUGCUUGCACCUCUUGAGAGCGGCGGACGGGUGAGUAAUGCCUAGGAAUCUGCCUAGUGGUGGGGGAUAACGUUCGGAAACGGACGCUAAUACCGCAUACGUCCUACGGGAGAAAGCGGGGGACCUUCGGGCCUCGCGCCAUUAGAUGAGCCUAGGUCGGAUUAGCUAGUUGGUGAGGUAAUGGCUCACCAAGGCGACGAUCCGUAACUGGUCUGAGAGGAUGAUCAGUCACACUAGGAACUGAGACACGGUCCAGACUCCGUACGGGAGCAGCAGUGGGAAUAGUGGACAAGUGGACGAAAGCCUGACUCCGAGCCAUCGCCGCGUGUGUAGAAGGAAGGUCGUUCGGAAUUGUAAAGUCGUAACGUUUAAGGUUA
Molecule: ribosomal RNA, 428 nt
Filed under: uncultured soil bacterium
Lineage: Bacteria
Description: bacterial SSU rRNA
Rfam family: Bacterial small subunit ribosomal RNA
Source: RNAcentral